RNAcentral lists this ribosomal RNA (776 nucleotides) under uncultured Neocallimastigales. RNAcentral describes it as "partial large subunit ribosomal RNA". It matches the Rfam family "Eukaryotic large subunit ribosomal RNA", at positions 26 to 647 of the family's 3401-position model. The record is from RNAcentral. Lineage: Eukaryota; Fungi; Neocallimastigomycota; Neocallimastigomycetes; Neocallimastigales.
CGCAUCUGUGCAUGCAGCAUAUCAAUAAGCGGAGGAAAAGAAACUAACAAGGAUUCCCCUAGUAACGGCGAGUGAAGCGGGAAGAGCUCAAAUUUGAAAUCUUAAAGGUUUUCCCUUGACGAAUUGUAGUUUAAAGAAGUGUUUUCUGUUGAAGUUUUGGUAAAAGUUCUUUGGAAUAGGACAUCAUAGAGGGUGAGAAUCCCGUAUUUGACCUUUACUUUCAACUUUGUGAUACACUUUCAAAGAGUCGGAUUGUUUGGGAAUGCAGUCCAAAAUGGGUGGUAAAUUUCAUCUAAAGCUAAAUAUUGGCGAGAGACCGAUAACGAACAAGUACCGUGAGGGAAAGAUGAAAAGAACUUUGAAAAGAGAGUUAAACAGUACGUGAAAUUGUCAAAAGGGAAGCGUUUGACACCAGUGUUGUUUUUCUGAAAAUCAAUUAAAGAACUGUUUAUGCUAAGCUGUUUAGACUUUAUCAGCUAAUCUGUUUAGUUUUGAGCUUUUCUUUAAUGCACUUUUCAGUUAACAAGUCAACAUCAAUUUCUUUUGCUGUAAAAAAGCUUGAGGAAGGUGGCUUGAGAUUCGUCUUAAGUGUUUAUAGCCUCUUGCCUAUGCAGUCGGAGAGAUUGAGGUCUGCAGCGUAGAUCCUUCGGGGCUAAAUGCAUUUGUGCUAAGUAUAUAGCAUUUUAUAGACAACUUGUUGACUAUGAUUUGUCUUGUAGCUUACUCGCUUAUGUUAUUUUACCUACGCUUAGGAUGUUGACGAGACUGUCGAUCUC